Non-coding RNA from Taeniopygia guttata (zebra finch), 2258 nucleotides. NCBI's taxonomy places the organism in Eukaryota, Metazoa, Chordata, Aves, Passeriformes, Estrildidae. The record is from RefSeq and is a predicted model, not a curated record.
CCCGGCCGGGAUCGCUGUGCCCCGGCCGCUCGUGGCCUCCCGCCCAAGGGUAUCCUGCGUGAGAGCUCUCCCUUGUCCCGGCUACGUGCACUGAGCCCGGUGGGAGCCACCAGGGAAACACCCGGGCAAAGCUGGCACCGAGGCGUGGGCAUCCCGGGAUCUGCUAGGAGACAGCCUGAGAGCCCCUCCUCUGCCCGGUGGGCACCCAGGAGCCCUGGUCCUCCAGCCCCAGAACCAAGGACACGAUUGCAGCUUCAGGCCCUAAAAGUGAAAACAACAGCGAAUUGAGGAGAGCAGACUGGGAGGAUGAGACUUCAUAACCUGGAGCUGUAAUUGGACAGUUAACCCAAUAUGGAAAUGGACCAAAACUUAUAAAAGUGUCAGAACUCAUGACUCUGAGUCCAUCUUGAGUGUAGCCUUGGCCAGGCUCUUGUACUGCCCAAGGUGUGUCCUUUGACGGCCUUUUUAAUAAAUCCCUACUUUAUUUCUUUAACACUGUCUUGCUCUGUUCUGCUGCACUAUGAAGCAGUCCCCGAGUCCUACAGAAGCUGGUGCUGCUGCACACCCAAAAACCAUUCCCUGGGACCUGAAAUGCUUUUGAUUCAGUUUGACUAACGGUCAUGUCAAAUCCAGGGGUUUCUUUAAUACAAUCUUUUUUCCGGCUGGAGACCAGUUCUGUGAGCAGCAGAAGUUUCUUUGUUUCCCCAGGAUUUCCCUGUGCCUGGUAAUGCUAUCACGGCCCCAUGCACAGAUUUGGCUGAAAUCCAUGUGUUCAGUGAAUAUGACACCUUCCAAAAAUUCUGGACUAGCUGUGUAUCUGUGAUACAGUCUCAGCACCUGCACUGUGGGCCUGGGGCUUCUCCAGCAGCUUUGAUGAAACUUCUUUGAAUGCACAACUCUGCAGCUCUUGCUUUCUGUUCUUUCUGAGAAGAAUUGGAUGAAUAAUGUGUGCACAUUCACUUCUGACAUUGAAUUCCCAAAAAUGUGACAGCCUUAACCCUGCAUCUGCCUGCUCGAAGUACCUGGGAUGACCUGGGCGUUCCAUGCACAUUUCCCAGCACUCAGAUGGACAAGGGCAGCUUGCUGCCUGCAUUUUGGCCGGUACUGACUGAGGUGCUGGCUCCUCCUCACCUCCAGCUCACAGGACACAGGGUGUGAGGAUUGCUGAGGGGCGUGUGGGAGUGAAGCCAUCAAACUGCAUCACCCAGGGGACAGUGCUUCACCACAGCUCCAUUGUUUCAGAGCUCAGGUUCAUCUCCUCCGCUCCAAGUGCAAAUCCAUGCUGUUUCACACACCCAUCCUCAGUCCUGUGCACUCACACUGCUUUUAGACCUGGCUCCUUCCAGAAGUGUAGUGUAGGGCCCCUCUGACUGUAUCAGCAGGGAGAGACACUCCGUUCCAAGUGCCUCCUUUGUGGAGGCCAAAGAACCCAGCCCAGAUGCCUGUCUGGACAGCUCCUACACAGGAGCAUGGCAGAUGGGGACAGGGGGACGGGCAGUGAGUUUGUGAGUUUUCCUGCUCUGGUUUCAGCUGUAUCCCAUGGCCACCAGCUUUACACCAGCCCAUUGCAGGCUGGAUCAGGGGGUACCUCAGCAGGGCGCUGCUCCUCAAUGAUGGGUUUUAUUCUCUGGUUCUGAAGGACCCUUUCUGUAUCUAAUAUAUUUGAUUUUAUUAAUUAUUUUCAAUUUUAGAUUGCAGGAUCUGGAGCUGGUCCUGGACAUCAGCUGGGAGCUGGUGAAGGGAUGUGUCAUGCUCCAGCAGCAGCAAGGAGCACACUCCAGCAGCCAGUUCCUUAACAUGGAUUUCUUUCUCGGUGGGUGGGGACGGAUCCUCUGGUGUACCUCAGGGUGGUGUGGGCAGGGCCCUGGGAAGGAGAGGGAUGUGCAGGUGGAGGUGGUCCUGGGAUGCACCAGAGAGUAGCAACAGCCCAGUGCACAUUGCUGGGCUUUGGCUGCAGAGCAGGAUGUUCACCUCCUCACAGACCUGCACAUUUGCCCUGGUUUCAGCCAGGACAGGGUGAAAUUUUUUCACAGCAGCCAUGAGGGGCAGGGCCUGGAGCCGGGUGGGUGGGUCCAGGUUGUUAUUCCAUACCAUGCACUUCACUGCCAGGGUGCAAGUGAGGGACUCCCCCUUCCUGAGGGAGAAUGACAUUCCCUUUUGGUGGGGGAAAGCACGGUGCGGGCAGGAAGAGCUGUUGGGUGUUGUGGUUUUCCAUGUAAAUAAAUAAUUCUGUAUACCUUGUGUUAUAAAUAUUAUUG